This 359-nucleotide long non-coding RNA is filed under the name Mytilus galloprovincialis (Mediterranean mussel). Lineage: Eukaryota; Metazoa; Mollusca; Bivalvia; Mytilida; Mytilidae. The record is from RNAcentral.
AAUUCAUAAUAUCUAAUAAAAUUUUUAGAUUUAGCUAACAAAGUCCUUAUAUUUGCAUAAAGUAACAUUCGUUUAUAGUGGAAAAUUGUUUUAACGUUGAAUAAGCUUCAAUUAAAAAUUGCUUGCUAGUCCCUCUCUGUGAUUACCAUUAGAUAACUCUAGUUCAUUUCCCAAUCAAUCUAUCAUCAAGGGAAGAUAAAUAAUGCAAUAUUCAUCCAAAGUCUUUUUCAAAAAUGAUAAACGGUUUUUUAUAUUGGUAUGUAAUCAUUUUAAAGGUUUCACAUAUGAAAUUAUAUUCGUACAUCAAUGUUUUUGAUACACCAAUAACAAAAACUGAAAUAUAUUGAAUUGAUACAUUU